RNAcentral lists this ribosomal RNA (497 nucleotides) under uncultured bacterium. RNAcentral describes it as "partial 16S ribosomal RNA". It matches the Rfam family "Bacterial small subunit ribosomal RNA", at positions 28 to 507 of the family's 1533-position model. The record is from RNAcentral.
GAUGAACGCUGGCGGCGUGCCUAAUACAUGCAAGUCGAGCGAACAGACGAGGAGCUUGCUCCUCUGACGUUAGCGGCGGACGGGUGAGUAACACGUGGAUAACCUACCUAUAAGACUGGGAUAACUUCGUGAAACCGGAUCUAAUACCGGAUAAUAUAUUGAACCGCUUGGUUCAAUAGUGAAAGACGGUUUUGCUGUCACUUAUAGAUGGAUCCGCGCCGCAUUAGCUAGUUGGUAAGGUAACGGCUUACCAAGGCAACGAUGCGUAGCCGACCUGAGAGGGUGAUCGGCCACACUGGAACUGAGACACGGUCCAGACUCCUACGGGAGGCAGCAGUAGGGAAUCUUGCGCAAUGGGCGAAAGCCUGACGGAGCAACGCCGCGUGAGUGAUGAAGGUCUUCGGAUCGUAAAACUCUGUUAUUAGGGAAGAACAAAUGUGUAAGUAACUAUGCACGUCUUGACGGUACCUAAGCAGAAAGCCACGGCUAACUACGUG